RNAcentral lists this long non-coding RNA (212 nucleotides) under Mytilus galloprovincialis (Mediterranean mussel). The record is from RNAcentral. Lineage: Eukaryota; Metazoa; Mollusca; Bivalvia; Mytilida; Mytilidae.
AAAAACUAAUCAGGAAUAACACGAUGUUUUGAUUUAUAUCAAUAAUAUAAAUCAAAACAUAAAGUUAUUCCUGAUUAAUUUUUAGAACUAUUUUAAUAUUAAAGGCGUUAAGAACCUUUGGUGACCCCACAGUUUAAAUUCUAUAAUAAGUAAGUAGUGAGCAGUUGUCGUUGCAGACACACGUUCACCUAAUCUGCCCCAGUCAAUGGGAU